Molecule: long non-coding RNA, 726 nt
Organism: Limulus polyphemus (Atlantic horseshoe crab)
Lineage: Eukaryota; Metazoa; Arthropoda; Merostomata; Xiphosura; Limulidae
Exons: 3
Source: RefSeq, a predicted model, not a curated record
CUAUUUUAUUUCAUUUAUUAAGUCUAUCAAUUUAUUCGGCUAUCUGUUGAAAUUAUUUACCUUUGCUUGAUGUAUAAUAUUGGUUUGAAUAGAGCCCGCCGGGCCCCAUUUGUUUUUAGCUGACUAGGCAUUUAGGCUUAAAUCUGACUGUUGAAGCUUGCCUAUGCUCUUGACCGUAAUUGUAAAACUUUGAAAGCGGGUCCAUCGUCCCUUGAUUUUGACAUAUAACUGUGGACGGCCAUGUAUGUAGUGUCGAAUCCUUUCUCUAUAUGAGAAAGCAGACGACAGAUUACAUGACGUUCCUCCGUCCUUAUUCAGCAUUUGAAGAUGGCCCAAAACACCACCCAAUGCCUUUUCACCUUUACUUUCAAGUCAAAUGAUUACCUUAAGAUACGUGUGGUAUGUAACCAUGGUAAUAUAAUUGCGAAAAGCCACAGUUAAGUGUUCUACUUUAUUUUUAUUGGGCGGCAGGAGACGACCUGAAGUGAAAAAUAAAGAAUUUAUAUGAAUGGAGGGAAUGUAGCACUCUAACAUCAGAGGUCACCAGACAUCCUGUUGGAUUAGAUGCUAAGGUCAUGGAAAGUCUUUGAUAUUCUCAAUCGAAGCACAAACAAAAUUAUGAAAUAUGACUUUAUUAACUCAGGAAUUGGAAUACCAAGUGUUUAUCAUGUUGUGGUAGUUAUUUUUCUGGAAUACUUUGCCUGGGGGCUUUUGACAACCACUUCU